ACUCUGAUAAACCUAAAGGCGCAAUGAAAGUAAAGGUCCGCCUUGCGCGGACCGAGGGAGGAUGGGCCGGUCCGAGAGCCGGCUCCGCACUCCCGGGGCGUCUCGUUCUCAUCGCGAGAAGAGGCGCACCCAGAGCGUACACGCUGGGACCCGAAAGAUGGUGAACUAUGCCUGGUCAGGACGAAGUCAGGGGAAACCCUGAUGGAGGUCCGUAGCGAUUCUGACGUGCAAAUCGAUCGUCGGAACUGGGUAUAGGGGCGAAAGACUAAUCGAACCUUCUAGUAGCUGGUUCCUUCCGA
RNAcentral lists this ribosomal RNA (299 nucleotides) under Uroxys sp. FCO-2006. RNAcentral describes it as "partial 28S ribosomal RNA". It matches the Rfam family "Eukaryotic large subunit ribosomal RNA", at positions 698 to 964 of the family's 3401-position model. Lineage: Eukaryota; Metazoa; Arthropoda; Insecta; Coleoptera; Scarabaeidae. The record is from RNAcentral.